RNAcentral lists this long non-coding RNA (2464 nucleotides) under Triticum aestivum (bread wheat). Its description in RNAcentral is "long non-coding RNA (TAES_LNC013575)". Lineage: Eukaryota; Viridiplantae; Streptophyta; Magnoliopsida; Poales; Poaceae. The record is from RNAcentral.
UGGACGUUGCCGUAGCGCUGCGGGCCUGGUCGGGAUUGUGCUGUUGUUGGCCCGCCCGUUCCAAGUUGAGUAGUGGACCGUUCGGGGCCUGUGCGAAAGCUGGGCUUCAUUGGUUUUCUUUUUCUUUUUUUGCUUGUGCUGUCACUUUGCCAUUUGAGCUGAAUUUUUCUCUUUCUUUUUUUGCUUGUGCUGUCACUUUGCCAUUUGAGCUGAAUUUUUCUCUUUCUUUUUUUGCUUGUGCUGUCACUUUGCCAUUUGAGCUGAAUAAAUGGAGAAACAAGACAGCGAGGGUGUGCAUUCCCGUUUCACUUUUCUGAGUGUAGCGCGGUGCAAAAACAAGCGGGGAUCGAAGGUAAACGUCAGCGGAGAUACAUCAUGCAACGAACCACCAUUUUUUUCUCUUUCUUUUUUUACUUGUGCUGUCACUUUGCCAUUUGAGCUGAAUAAAUGGAGAAACAAGACAACGAGGGUGUGCAUUCCCGUUUCACUUUUCUGAGUGUAGCGCGGUGCAAAAACAAGCGGGGAUCGAAGGUAAACGUCAGCGGAGAUACAUCAUGCGUCCUUCAACUUACGAGAGGAGACAGCAGGGGUUCAAAAUGGAGGAAGGGAAAUUUCAGAAGACUUCAUGCUGAACAGGACUUUGCCUCGGCCUUCUAGACUUACCGGCUGUCAGCAACUCAUCAUUAUGGUAGCGGCACAAAACCGCUUUGCAGUCACAGCAGAACGCAUGAUCAUAGGUUGGUUUUACAGAGCAGCGAUCACUGCCCGCUUCCAAUGGUGGAAGGAUAACGGGCCGCUGCACAUCCUGGCCGCCUUGGGCCUCGCAGCCCACUGCAACGAACCACCAUUUUUUUCUUUUUGUUUUUUUGCUUGUGCUGUCACUUUGCCAUUUGAGCUGAAUAAAUGGAGAAACAAGACAGGGAGGGUGUGCAUUCCCGUUUCACUUUGCUGUCACUUUGCCAUUUGAGCUGAAUAAAUGGAGAAACAAGACAGCGAGGGUGUGCAUUCCCGUUUCACUUUUCUGAGUGUAGCGCGGUGAAAGCUGGGCUUCACGGGCCAUGAUGUGGAAGGCACUGCGCGAGGCUGGUUUCACAGAGCAGCGAUCACUGCCCGCUUCCAACGGUGGAAGGAUAACGGGCAGCUGCACAUCCUGGCCGCCUUGGGCCUCGCAGCCCACUGCAACGAACCACCAUUUUUUCUCUUUCUUUUUUUGCUUGUACUGUCACUUUGCCAUUUGAGUUGAAUAAAUGGAGAAACAAGACAGCGAGGGUGUGCAUUCCCGUUUCACUUUUCUGAGUGUAGCGCGGUGCAAAAACAAGCGGGGAUCGAAGGCAAACGUCAGCGGAAAUACAUCAUGCGUCCUUCAACGUACGAGAGGAGACAGCAGGGGUCCAAAAUGGAGGAAGUGAACUUUCAGAAGACUUGAUGCUGAACAGGACUUUGCCUUGGCCUUCUAGACUUACCGGCUGUCAGCAACUCAUCAUUAUGGUAGUGGCACAAAACCGCUUUGCAGUCACAGCAGAACGCAUGAUCAUAGGUUGGUUUCACAGAGCAGUGAUCACUGCCCGCUUCCAAUGGUGGAAGGAUAACGGGCCGCUGCACAUCCUGGCCGCCUUGGGCCUCGCAACCCACUGCAACGAACCACCAUUUUUUUCUCUUUCUUUUUUUGCUUGUGCUGUCACUUUGCCAUUUGAGCUGAAUAAAUGGAGAAACAAGACAACGAGGGUGUGCAUUCCCGUUUCACUUUGCUGUCACUUUGCCAUUUGAGCUGAAUAAAUGGAGAAACAAGACAGCGAGGGUGUGCAUUCCCGUUUCACUUUUCUGAGUGUAGCGCGGUGCAAAAACAAGCGGGGAUCGAAGGCAAACGUCAGCGGAAAUACAUCAUGCGUCCUUCAACGUACGAGAGGAGACAGCAGGGGUCCAAAAUGGAGGAAGUGAAAUUUCAGAAGACUUGACGCUGAACAGGACUUUGGCUCGGCCUUCUAGACUUACCGGCUGUCAGCAACUCAUCAUUAUGGUAGCGGCACAAAACCGCUUUGCAGUCACAGCAGAACGCAUGAUCAUAGGUUGGUUUCACAGAGCAGCGAUCACUGCCCGCUUCCAACGGUGGAAGGAUAACGGGCCGCUGCACAUCCUGGCCGCCUUGGGCCUCGCAGCCCACUGCAACGAACCAUCAUUUUUUUCUCUUUCUUUUUUUGCUUGUGCUGUCACUUUGCCAUUUGAGCUGAAUAAUGGAGAAACAAGACAGCGAGGGUGUGCAUUCCCGUUUCACUUUGCUGUCACUUUGCCAUUUGAGCUGAAUAAAUGGAGAAACAAGACAGCGAGGGUGUGCAUUCCCGUUUCACUUUUCUGAGUGUAGCGCGGUGCAAAAACAAGCGGGGAUCGAAGGUAAACGUCAGCGGAGAUACAUCAUGCGUCCUUCAACGUACGAGAGGAGACAGCAGGGGUCCAAAAUGGAGGAAGG